RNAcentral lists this transfer RNA (59 nucleotides) under Agrilinae sp. 5 ACP-2013. Its description in RNAcentral is "tRNA-Ser". Lineage: Eukaryota; Metazoa; Arthropoda; Insecta; Coleoptera; Buprestidae. The record is from RNAcentral.
AGAAAUAAAUUUAAAAGAAGCUUCUAACUUCUUUCUUUAGCAUAAAAUGUUAUUAUUUC